This is a long non-coding RNA of Magallana angulata, 2343 nucleotides long. RefSeq lists it as uncharacterized. NCBI's taxonomy places the organism in Eukaryota, Metazoa, Mollusca, Bivalvia, Ostreida, Ostreidae. The transcript has 4 exons. The record is from RefSeq and is a predicted model, not a curated record.
GGUUUUUCUUAAGUUUUACAUAUAGAUUUUUAAAAAAAUGUUAUGUUUUCUUAGUGAGAGGGUAGAAGUGUCCUUCGAUGAUGGCUGGCAGAAGUAUGGUAGUGGAAGAUCGUUCAGCAGUUUAUCAGCUCAUGCAUGUAUGAUUGGUAACAAAACUGGCAAUAGCUGUAAGAAACAAAAGCCGUCAAGUUUGCGAACAUGCUGCAUUGUCCAAAGAACCACCAAGGCAACAUGACUGCAGGAAAUAUUGGGGUGGACCGGUAGUGCUAAAGGAAGGUGAUAUGACUGUUGGCAUGCUAAAAGAUCUUGAAGACAAAAACAUUAGCGUGGAAACCAUUGUAAUGGAUGAUGACACAACGACCAUAGCAAGGGCGAGGAAGGCUGGUCUAAAGAAGAAAAAAGAUGCCAUAAAAAGAACCAUUUUACCAACAAAUUAUAUAGUGUACAAAUAGCCAAAAAGUACAAACAGCUAGGAACCAAAAUUUUACAUUGUAAAAAAGUGUUUUAAUAAUGAUAUUACAAUGAACAAGAAAAAUCGGGUAAAUUUGAAAUUAAAAUUGAAAGUACUAACACCUUAUCUUUUUGGAAUACACAGCCAUUGCAGCCAAUUAUGGCUUUGUUCGGAAUUGUGGUAAUUUUAUUCCCAAGAACGUUAACAUACUGUACAGGUAAUACCUUAGUGAGAGUAAGCUGAAAGAUGACAUUCAAGAAGCUAUUUCAACAUGUGCAGACCAAGCAGAAUAGUUCGCUAAUUUAAGGAGUUCGCAGUCUAAUGAGAGCUUCAACAACACAGUUGCGUCAAAGGUCCCAAAGCAAAUGCAUUUUCUAUAUAUAUCUGUAAGCAUGUCAUUUAGAGUUGCCGCUGCUGCCGUCCAGAAAAGCUUAGGAAGUGUUAUGUGUUGAAGGUAAAUGAAGAACUGCUCUUGUCACCAGGAGAGCAAACAAAGAAAGUAUUAGUUCAACAUGAUUUGAAAAGGACAAGGGACUGUGAACGGAAGUCAUCAACUUCAUUCAAGAAAAAAAGGUCAUCGUUAAAAUCUAAGAAACAAUCAGCGUUAGAGUGCAUAGAAAUGAGAGAGGGUACCAUAUAUGAGUCUAUGUGAACUUGAGAGACUCUUCUAUUGCAGAUUAUAUUCAUGAGAUACCUCUUCCAUCUUCCUCGCCCACCAUAUCAACUCUUGCAGAUGGAAAUUAUACGUUCAUCUGCUUUGAUCUCGAGACUACAGGUCUUGGUAUGUGUUUUGAUAAAUGUAGACAAAUACAAGGACAUACAUUUUAAAUAUUACAAUAUGUUAUACAUUUUGUGCAUAUAAAUCUAUAAAUGUCAACACAGUAAUUUUGGAAUUUUCUUUUAUUUAUAAAUACAAUUCCAUUGUUUUAGGAUGUCAUCUAUUACGUCAGUAGUUGCAAACUCUGGGGAAAGACAUUUAAGCAUUAUGUGCUUCCAGAUGAAGAGAUAAGCCAUUCUGCUUCAGCAACAACUUUCAUAUCUUUUAAUGGUAUUGUACUGUACAAGGAUGGAGAGAAACUUGAUGCUGUACCAUUACCCGAGGCUCUUGUCAGAUUUUCCAAUCGGAUAAAAGAGUUCAAAAGCCCAGUCCUGGUAUCCCACAAUGCCAAGUCCGUUACCUCUGUUGUUUUUAUGAACAAUGUAUCAAAAAGCCUGUUUGAAUUUUGAUCACAUUAUAUGAUUUGUAGACAGUUUAUCCCUAUUUAAAGAUGAACCGGGGAAUUACCAUGCAAGAAAAGAUAUUCCCAAUCAUCACUGGUGCAUGAUGCAGGUUUGGCAUAUAAUGCUCAUAAUGCUUUACAUGAUUUUUUGCCUUAGACGGCCUUUUGAAGUUCCAUUGUGUUUCAGGGUCCACGAUGUUGAAAUACAGUUUUCCAUUGUCUUAUGUUUACAAUAUAGAAAAUCCAAAAUUGUAAAUGUCAACUCUCUUUCACAUCUAGAUUCAUCAAAAACAUUGUCUGAAUUCAUAGCUGAAAAAGUUGCUGCUUCUGGUCUUUGUUAUCAACAUCUGAAAACGUCAUUUGGAAGAAAUGCAUGCACGGAUUUAGAGGCAAUCUAGAGGCCAAUGUAAGAUCCCUCCCCCUUGGUAAAUGAAAAUUUACUAAAUUUACAUAGUAAAAUUAUCAAAAAUACGCUGCGGACCCCCUCUGGCAAACACAAUUAUCAUUUGGACACCCCCCCCCCCCCUCCCCUUGGAAAAAAAUUCUUGAUCCGCGCAUGAAAUGGAAAUAGAUACGAUGGUAUUGAAGCAUUAUUUAAAGUGUUAAAUUGAUGGUAAACCAAGGCACGAUGAAAAGAAAUUAUUUCGGCGCUUUUGGGGCAUUUUUCUAACU